Molecule: long non-coding RNA, 602 nt
Filed under: Homo sapiens (human)
Lineage: Eukaryota; Metazoa; Chordata; Mammalia; Primates; Hominidae
Description: non-protein coding lnc-FERMT2-2:1
Source: RNAcentral
GAGACAGAGUCUCGCUCCCUUGCCCAGGCUGGAAUGUAGUUUCACAUCACAGCUCGCUGCAACCUUGACCUUAUGGGCUCAAGUGAUCCUCCUACCUCAGCAUCCUGAGUAGCUGGGACUACAGGCACAUGCCACCAUGCCUGGCUAAUUAAAAAAAAAAAAAUUAUAGAGAUGGGACUUCACCAUGUCUAUAGGACGAGUUCCAAGCCCACCAACUCCUUGUCUUUAUUAAUCCUUCCUAUUCUAGCCCUCAGGAUUCUGUUUUCUGAGAAUAAGAGGGUACUUUCUCUGUCAUCCAUGUGUCCCAUUUUGUAGUUGACUCAAACAUUCUUAGUUGCCCUAUAUAUUCUGCCUCAGCUGCCUUGUGUACUGGCUUUUCAGGACAGAGCGUGUUUUCUCAGCUGUUAAUGUUUCUUUUGUACCUGUCACAUAACAGUGCUGCCCUGGGGAACUGUAUGGAAUGUAGAUUGUAAGUUAAAAAGAGAAAGUAAAGCAAGUGCUAAUUUCAUUUUUCAUUCGUAGUUUUUUAAAAUUAUUUAUACAGAAUCUUGUUUCUAAAAGUGAACUUAUUUGCCUUCAACCAUGUUGGUGUGCUGCACCCA